CAGUAGCCACGGUAAUACGUAGGGUGCAAGCGUUAAUCGGAAUUACUGGGCGUAAAGCGUGCGCAGGCGGUUAUAUAAGACAGUCGUGAAAUCCCCGGGCUCAACCUGGGAACUGCGAUUGUGACUGUAUGGCUAGAGUGUGUCAGAGGGGGGUAGAAUUCCACGUGUAGCAGUGAAAUGCGUAGAUAUGUGGAGGAAUACCGAUGGCGAAGGCAGCCCCCUGGGAUAACACUGACGCUCAUGCACGAAAGCGUGGGGAGCAAACAGGAUUAGAUACCCCAGUAGUCCCUGUCUCUUAUAC
RNAcentral lists this ribosomal RNA (301 nucleotides) under uncultured bacterium. RNAcentral describes it as "partial 16S ribosomal RNA". It matches the Rfam family "Bacterial small subunit ribosomal RNA", at positions 509 to 807 of the family's 1533-position model. The record is from RNAcentral.